This 253-nucleotide ribosomal RNA is filed under the name uncultured bacterium. RNAcentral describes it as "partial 16S ribosomal RNA". It matches the Rfam family "Bacterial small subunit ribosomal RNA", at positions 524 to 776 of the family's 1533-position model. The record is from RNAcentral.
UACGUAGGGGGCUAGCGUUGCUCGGAAUUACUGGGCGUAAAGCGCACGUAGGCGGUCUUUUAAGCCGGGGGUGAAAUCCUGGAGCUCAACUCCAGAACUGCCUUCGAUACUGGAAGACUCGAGUCCGGGAGAGGUGAGUGGAACUGCGAGUGUAGAGGUGAAAUUCGUAGAUAUUCGCAAGAACACCAGUGGCGAAGGCGGCUCACUGGCCCGGUACUGACGCUGAGGUGCGAAAGCGUGGGGAGCAAACAGG